This 253-nucleotide ribosomal RNA is filed under the name uncultured bacterium. Its description in RNAcentral is "partial 16S ribosomal RNA". It matches the Rfam family "Bacterial small subunit ribosomal RNA", at positions 524 to 776 of the family's 1533-position model. The record is from RNAcentral.
UACGAAGGGGGCUAGCGUUGCUCGGAAUUACUGGGCGUAAAGGGAGCGUAGGCGGAUAGUUUAGUCAGAGGUGAAAGCCCAGGGCUCAACCUUGGAAUUGCCUUUGAUACUGGCUAUCUUGAGUACGGAAGAGGUAUGUGGAACUCCGAGUGUAGAGGUGAAAUUCGUAGAUAUUCGGAAGAACACCAGUGGCGAAGGCGACAUACUGGUCCGUUACUGACGCUGAGGCUCGAAGGCGUGGGGAGCAAACAGG